GACGAACGCUGGCGGCGUGCUUAACACAUGCAAGUCGAACGAUGAAGAAAAGAAUUGAAGCUUCGGCAGAAAUUCAUUUCGGAUUAGUGGCAGACGGGUGAGUAACGCGUGAGCAACCUACCUCUUACAAAGGGAUAGCCUCGGGAAACCGGGAUUAAUACCAUAUAACAUUGCGACGAAGCAUUUCGAUGCAAUCAAAGCUACGGCGGUAAGAGAUGGGCUCGCGUCCCAUUAACCAGAUGGUGAGGUAACGGCUCACCAUAGUAACGAUGGGUAACCGGCCUGAAAGGGUGAACGGUCACACUGGAACUGAGACACGGUCCAGACUCCUACGGGAGGCAGCAGUGGGGAAUAUUGCACAAUGGAGGGAACUCUGAUGCAGCGACGCCGCGUGAGUGAUGAAGGAAUUCGUUUCGUAAAACUCUGUUCUAUGGGAAGAAAAGGACUGUACCAUAGGAGAAAGCUCCGGCUAAAUACGUG
Molecule: ribosomal RNA, 480 nt
Filed under: uncultured bacterium
Lineage: Bacteria
Description: partial 16S ribosomal RNA
Rfam family: Bacterial small subunit ribosomal RNA
Source: RNAcentral